Long non-coding RNA from Lepisosteus oculatus (spotted gar), 932 nucleotides. RefSeq lists it as uncharacterized. The record is from RefSeq and is a predicted model, not a curated record. NCBI's taxonomy places the organism in Eukaryota, Metazoa, Chordata, Actinopteri, Semionotiformes, Lepisosteidae.
UGGGCGAAUCUCAAAAGCAAGAAAUACAUGUCUUAUUUCUCCAUCAAGAGGGCGUUAAAGCCAGAUUUCCUUUACUUUUCCGAGGUUGUUUCUAACAAUUGUAACAGCUUUUCUAUCCAACAUCUUAUUAAUUUCUUAUAAUUAUGGAUUUAAAUGGUUCCACGUCGACAACCACAGGACGUCAACGAGAAAAUGCUGUUCGGGAUAACUUUAUCACGAUGCCCGUAAAGAAAAAAAGCAGAUGCCCCGUGUUAACGAAAAACGGUGGAUUGAAAACCCGUAGCAAGUUUUGCGCCGUGGAGUUGAAAGGAAAGAAAGAGAACCGAUUUAAAGACCCCGAAGAGCUUUCAGAAGGAGGUCUACAACGUAACGCAAAAGAAGGGCGAGAGAAGAAAAAGGGGUUUUGCAGGAAUUCAGAGGAGAGCCUUCCGGGGUCAUGCCAGAGAAAGUCUGAGAUGUGGGGAAGUGGGUCCCCUCACUUGAAGAAGGAUGGGGAGGAGGCGCUGGUCAAUUUGUUGAGACAUCGUUUAAAGUAUUUUGCAGGGUGUUAGAACCCUACUUCCCAGAAUCACGCUACUGUUCCGGAGUUCCAGGAUCUUGAAGAAUCGCCCGCUUCCCCACACUCACCGCGCAACCAUAAAGGAGUCUGGCACACAGCACGUGGAAAAGUAACUGUGUCUGUAGAUGGAUGGUACCAGAGAGAGCUGUCGGCAUCCUUCCUAAUUCUAGAAAAAGCCUUGAAACGAAGUGGGGAGACUGUGGUGAAUAUUGGAGAUUAUUAGGAGGACUGGGAAGAAGAGUGUAGGGAUCAUACUGAUGCUUCAAUAGAGGGCGGAGAAAGCGUUCUUAGCGGUCCUGUAAACUGUUGUGUGUCUUAUUCGGAAAAGCCAAUCCCACUCAAAAUAAUAAAAGAUUAUAGAAUUCAAGAUACA